Molecule: unclassified non-coding RNA, 96 nt
Organism: Cercocebus atys (sooty mangabey)
Lineage: Eukaryota; Metazoa; Chordata; Mammalia; Primates; Cercopithecidae
Rfam family: Y RNA
About the family: Y RNAs are components of the Ro ribonucleoprotein particle (Ro RNP), in association with Ro60 and La proteins. The Y RNAs and Ro60 and La proteins are well conserved, but the function of the Ro RNP is not known.
Source: Ensembl
GACUGGUCCAAUGGUAGUGGAUUAUCAGAACUUAUUAAUAUUAUUGUCACUAAAGUUGAUGUACAGUCCCCCACUACUAAAUUUGAUUGGCUUUAA